CGGGUGAGACGCCGGUCUAAGUCCCUUGGAACGGGGCGUCAUAGAGGGUGAGAAUCCCGUAUGUGACCGGUGAUCAACCCCAUGUGAAACUCCUUCGACGAGUCGAGUUGUUUGGGAAUGCAGCUCAAAAUGGGUGGUAAAUUUCAUCUAAAGCUAAAUACCGGCCAGAGACCGAUAGCGCACAAGUAGAGUGAUCGAAAGAUGAAAAGCACUUUGGAAAGAGAGUCAAAAAGUACGUGAAAUUGUUGAAAGGGAAGCGCUUGCAACCAGACCUGCCCGCGGGCGAUCAGCCGUCCUUCUGGGCGGUGUAUUCGCCCGCGAUCAGGCCAGCAUCGGUUCGGGCGGCCGGAUAAAGGCCUUGGGAACGUAGCUUUCUUCGGGGAGUGUUAUAGCCCUUGGUGCAAUGCGGCCCGCCGGGACCGAGGACCGCGCUUCGGCUAGGAUGCUGGCGUAAUGGUUGUAAGCGGCCCGUCUUGAAACACGGACCAAGGAGUCUAACAUCUAUGCGAGUGUUUGGGUGUCAAACCCAUGCGCGUAAUGAAAGUGAACGGAGGUGGGAACCCUGAAGGGCGCACCAUCGACCGAUCCAGAUGUCUUCGGAUGGAUUUGAGUACGAGCAUAGCUGUUGGGACCCGAAAGAUGGUGAACUAUGCCUGAAUAGGGUGAAGCCAGAGGAAACUCUGGUGGAGGCUCGCAGCGGUUCUGACGUGCAAAUCGAUCGUCAAAUUUGGGUAUAGGGGCGAAAG
This 746-nucleotide ribosomal RNA is filed under the name Fauriea chujaensis. RNAcentral describes it as "eukaryotic LSU rRNA". It matches the Rfam family "Eukaryotic large subunit ribosomal RNA", at positions 165 to 929 of the family's 3401-position model. The record is from RNAcentral. Lineage: Eukaryota; Fungi; Ascomycota; Lecanoromycetes; Teloschistales; Teloschistaceae. RNAcentral also lists the same sequence under 1 other name.